This 497-nucleotide ribosomal RNA is filed under the name uncultured Acholeplasma sp. RNAcentral's name for it is "bacterial SSU rRNA". It matches the Rfam family "Bacterial small subunit ribosomal RNA", at positions 903 to 1382 of the family's 1533-position model. The record is from RNAcentral. Lineage: Bacteria; Bacillati; Mycoplasmatota; Mollicutes; Acholeplasmatales; Acholeplasmataceae.
UUCGCCACGCCCGCUCAAGAAACUUAAAGGAAUUAGACGGACCCGCACAAGCGGUGGAUCAUGUGUUUAAUUCGAUGAUACGCGAAGAACCUUACCAGGUCUUGACAUCCCCCGCGAUGCUUUAGAGAUAAAGCGGAGGUAUUCGGGGAGACAGGUGGUGCAUGGUUGUCGUCAGCUCGUGUCGUGAGAUGUUGGGUUAAGUCCCGCAACGAGCGCAACCCCUAUUGCUAGUUACCAUCAUUAAGUUGGGGACUCUAGCGAGACUGCCAGUGAUAAACUGGAGGAAGGUGGGGAUGACGUCAAAUCAUCAUGCCCCUUAUGACCUGGGCUACAAACGUGAUACAAUGGCUGGAACAAAGGGAUGCGAAGCAGUGAUGUGGAGCGAAACCCAUAAAAACAGUCUCAGUUCGGAUUGAAGUCUGCAACUCGACUUCAUGAAGUCGGAAUCGCUAGUAAUCGCGGAUCAGAACGCCGCGGUGAAUACGUUCUCGGGGUUU